UAGGGAAUCUUCCACAAUGGACGCAAGUCUGAUGGAGCAACGCCGCGUGAGUGAAGAAGGUUUUCGGAUCGUAAAGCUCUGUUGUUGGUGAAGCAGGAUAGAGGUAGUAACUGGCCUUUAUUUGACGGUAAUCAACCAGAAAGUCACUGCUAACUACGUGCCAGCCGCCGCGGUAAUACGUAGGUGGCAAGCGUUGUCCGGAAUUAUUGGGCGUAAAGCGAGCGCAGGCGGAAGAAUAAGUCUGAUGUGAAAGCCCUCGGCUUAACCGAGGAACUGCAUCGGAAACUGUUUUGCUUGAGUGCAGAAGAGGAGAGUGGAAUUCCAUCUGUAGCGGUGGAAUGCGUAGAUAUAUGGCAGAACACCAGUGGCGAAGACGACUCUCUCGUCUGCAACUGUCGCUGAGGAUCGAAAGAAUGGGUAGCGAACAGG
Molecule: ribosomal RNA, 429 nt
Filed under: bacterium
Lineage: Bacteria
Description: partial 16S ribosomal RNA
Rfam family: Bacterial small subunit ribosomal RNA
Source: RNAcentral